This 1246-nucleotide ribosomal RNA is filed under the name metagenome. Its description in RNAcentral is "bacterial LSU rRNA". It matches the Rfam family "Bacterial large subunit ribosomal RNA", at positions 1564 to 2818 of the family's 2925-position model. The record is from RNAcentral.
UGAGUACGAGAUGCUACGGCAUCGAAGCAGUCUAUGUCAUACUUCCAAGAAAAGCUUGCACUGUCAGAAACAGAUAAUGCCUGUACCAUAACCGACACAGGUGGGUAGGUAGAGUAUACUAAGGGGCGCGAGAUAACUCUCUCUAAGGAACUCGGCAAAAUGACUCCGUAACUUCGGGAGAAGGAGUGCCUUAUUUUUAAGGUUGCAAUAACAAGAUCCAAGCAACUGUUUACCAAAAACACAGGUCUCCGCUAAGUCGUAAGACGAUGUAUGGGGGCUGACGCCUGCCCAGUGCCAGAAGGUUAAAGAAGUCGGUUAGCAUUCGCGAAGCUGGUAACUGAAGCCCUGGUGAACGGCGGCCGUAACAAUAACGGUCCUAAGGUAGCGAAAUUCCUUGUCGGGUAAGUUCCGACCCGCACGAAAGGCGUAAUGAUUUGGAUACUGUCUCGGAGAGGGGCUCGGUGAAAUAGACUUGUCUGUGAAGAUGCGGACUACCUGCACCUGGACAGAAAGACCCUAUGAAGCUUUACUGUAACUUGAAAUUGAAAUUGGACUUUAUUUGCGCAGUAUAGGUGGGAGGCGUUGAAAAUAUUCUUGCGGGAAUAUUGGAGCCAUCAGUGAGAUACCACUCUUGUAAUGUUAGAUUUCUAACUUUAUAUCAUUAUCUGGUUAAAGAACAGUUUCAGGCGGGCAGUUUGACUGGGGCGGUCGCCUCCCAAAUGGUAACGGAGGCGCACAAAGGUUUUCCUCUGAACGGGUAGAAAUCGUAUCUAGAGUGUAAAGGCAUAAGGAAGCUUGACUGUGAGACCUACAAGUCGAGCAGGGACGAAAGUCGGUCUUAGUGAUCUGACGGUGCUGAGUGGAAAGGCCGUCACUCAACGGAUAAAAGUUACUCUAAGGAUAACAGGCUGAUCUCCCCCAAGAGUUCACAUCGACGGGGAGGUUUGGCACCUCGAUGUCGGCUCAUCGCAUCCUGGGGCGGUAGUACGUCCCAAGGGUUGGGCUGUUCGCCCAUGAAAGCGGUACGCGAGCUGGGUUCAGAACGUCGUGAGACAGUUCGGUCCAUAUCCGGUGUAGGCGUUAGAAUAUUGAGAGGAGCCUUCUUUAGUACGAGAGGACCGAGAAGGACAUACCUCUGGUGUACCAGUUAUCGUGCCAACGGUAAACGCUGGGUAGCUAUGUAUGGAGUGGAUAACCGCUGAAAGCAUCUAAGUGGGAAGCCCACCUCAAGAUAAGUAUUCUCACC